GUGAGGAAUAUUGGUCAAUGGGCGGGAGCCUGAACCAGCCAAGUCGCGUGAAGGAAGAAGGAUCUAUGGUUCGUAAACUUCUUUUGCAGGGGAAUAAAGUGCGGGACGUGUCCUGUUUUGUAUGUACCCUGAGAAUAAGGAUCGGCUAACUCCGUGCCAGCAGCCGCGGUAAUACGGAGGAUCCGAGCGUUAUCCGGAUUUAUUGGGUUUAAAGGGUGCGUAGGUGGUUUGGUAAGUCAGCGGUGAAAGUUUGGAGCUUAACUGUAAAAAUGCCGUUGAAACUUGCGGGCUUGAGUGUAAAUGAGGUAGGCGGAAUGCGUGGUGUAGCCGUGAAAUGCAUAGAUAUCACGCAGAACUCCGAUUGCGAAGGCAGCUUACUAAGCUACAACUGACACUGAAGCACGAAAGCGUGGGGAUCAAACAGGAUUAGAUACCCCAGUAGUCC
This 445-nucleotide ribosomal RNA is filed under the name uncultured bacterium. Its description in RNAcentral is "partial 16S ribosomal RNA". It matches the Rfam family "Bacterial small subunit ribosomal RNA", at positions 354 to 796 of the family's 1533-position model. The record is from RNAcentral.